UUGAUUCAGCCUGCCGUUCUUCUGGGACUACAGUAAUGGGUCUUGUCCACACUGACGUCUAAAGGCACGUGGUGGAAUGAGCAACCGACCGGAAAAAUGUAAAGUAGUAAAUAGUGUCGGGGGAAGAGGUCAUUGAGAGGUCACACGUGAGAGGAAGGCACACGGUGAGGACGAGGAGACGGCAGUUGAUAUCUGUCCACGAGGUUCACAUCAAUUUGAAGGGUUAAACCAACAACCGUUACAGUCGCUCUGUAUUCUACCCUUCAGUCUGUCCGGGGUAAUCAAUAGGGACACAGCGAUCAGCCCUGUAGGGCAGAUACUAUCACUGGAUUUAUUUCAUUAGGAACUUAGGAACAAUUACACUCCCCUCCUGCUCCUGCCACAGUUUUUCCUGUAACAACCUGCUCAGGUUUCUUUGUUUCUCUGUGUCCUGGAUAGACUGGAAUACUAGGACACUAGAACAACAGCAUAAAAUACCACUUCAAGAGUUAGCAUUUAAGAAGCUAACACUAUUUGGAGUUUGACAUGUUCUGCUCAGACUUCAGCAUCAUCGCAAAUGAUGUGACAUAAAGAGACACACACACAUCUGUGUUGCUGGGUCAACAGACCACAGCCUAUAAACAUUCAACUACAUUUACUGGUGAAUAUUUAACAUAUUGUGAAGUACAAACAGAGGAGAAACUGUUCAGUGAAUCUGACGUCAGACAUUAAAGCUGAGUUCGUUUGAAUAUGAGUUAAAAUGGUCACUAAAUGUCAGACAUAAGUCACUUCUUGAAUCAAUACUAUUACCCCCUACUCUCACCCCUCUCUCUCCCUCUGUGGGCCAGAGGCUGAACAUUUACACUCUCCAGGUUUUUCAUACCCAACGAGCCGUAUUAGGAGAGAGUUCAUUAAGGCAGAAUUCUUUUUUUUUUUCUUGUUGCUCUAAUUUUCUGUUGUUGUUAACACUUUCUAUAAUGUUCCUUUUUGGCAGUGAUUUAAUGAUGCAAAAUAGAAAAUCCUUCUUUUUUAAAAAAAAAGCAACAUUUCCUCCACAUCACUGUGAUCACUAUCUCUAUGCCCCGUGCUUUGAUCACCACAUUCUACCCUUAGCUUUGAUCGUGCCGCAGCUCUGCAGCGCCAUCUUGUGCCGACAGACACAAGCAUAUGAAGGCAACGCUUCCCCCAGGUUUCUCCCUGCCUCAUCCUGCUUCUGAUAUUUUUAGAGCCGUCCAGAUAUUUUUAGCUCUGUGUUGCCAUGUAAACUGGUUGUCACAGAGACCAGGAGGACGGCUGUUCCAGUGCAGUGCUGACAUCAGCUCCACAUUGUCUUUGUCAGCUGGUAAAAAAAAAAAA
This is a long non-coding RNA of Cynoglossus semilaevis (tongue sole), 1335 nucleotides long. RefSeq lists it as uncharacterized. The record is from RefSeq and is a predicted model, not a curated record. The transcript is spliced from 2 exons. Lineage: Eukaryota; Metazoa; Chordata; Actinopteri; Pleuronectiformes; Cynoglossidae.